GUGUACGUACAAGCAGUGGGAGCACCCUUUGGGUGUGACUGCGUACCUUUUGUAUAAUGGGUCAGCGACUUAUAUUCUGUAGCAAGGUUAACCGAAUAGGGGAGCCGGAGGGAAACCGAGUCUUAACCGGGCGUUAAGUUGCAGGGUAUAGACCCGAAACCCGGUGAUCUAGCCAUGGGCAGGUUGAAGGUUGGGUAACACUAACUGGAGGACCGAACCGACUAAUGUUGAAAAAUUAGCGGAUGACCUGUGGCUGGGGGUGAAAGGCCAAUCAAACCGGGAGAUAGCUGGUUCUCCCCGAAAGCUAUUUAGGUAGCGCCUCGUGAAUUCAUCUCCGGGGGUAGAGCACUGUUUCGGCUAGGGGGCCAUCCCGGCUUACCAACCCGAUGCAAACUGCGAAUACCGGAGAAUGUUAUCACGGGAGACACACGGCGGGUGCUAACGUCCGUCGUGAAGAGGGAAACAACCCAGACCGCCAGCUAAGGUCCCAAAGUCAUGGUUAAGUGGGAAACGAUGUGGGAAGGCCCAGACAGCCAGGAUGUUGGCUUAGAAGCAGCCAUCAUUUAAAGAAAGCGUAAUAGCUCACUGGUCGAGUCGGCCUGCGCGGAAGAUGUAACGGGGCUAAACCAUGCACCGAAGCUGCGGCAGCGACACUGUGUGUUGUUGGGUAGGGGAGCGUUCUGUAAGCCUGUGAAGGUGUGUCGUGAGGCAUGCUGGAGGUAUCAGAAGUGCGAAUGCUGACAUAAGUAACGAUAAAGCGGGUGAAAAGCCCGCUCGCCGGAAGACCAAGGGUUCCUGUCCAACGUUAAUCGGGGCAGGGUGAGUCGACCCCUAAGGCGAGGCCGAAAGGCGUAGUCGAUGGGAAACGGGUUAAUAUUCCCGUACUUGGUGUUACUGCGAAGGGGGGACGGAGAAGGCUAUGUUGGCCGGGCGACGGUUGUCCCGGUUUAAGCGUGUAGGUGUGUGUUCCAGGUAAAUCCGGUUCACUUUAACACUGAGGCGUGACGACGAGGCACUACGGUGCUGAAGCAACAAAUGCCCUGCUUCCAGGAAAAGCCUCUAAGCAUCAGGUAACAUCAAAUCGUACCCCAAACCGACACAGGUGGUCAGGUAGAGAAUACCAAGGCGCUUGAGAGAACUCGGGUGAAGGAACUAGGCAAAAUGGUGCCGUAACUUCGGGAGAAGGCACGCUGACACGUAGGUGAAGUGAUUUACUCAUGGAGCUGAAGUCAGUCGAAGAUACCAGCUGGCUGCAACUGUUUAUUAAAAACACAGCACUGUGCAAACACGAAAGUGGACGUAUACGGUGUGACGCCUGCCCGGUGCCGGAAGGUUAAUUGAUGGGGUCAGCGCAAGCGAAGCUCCUGAUCGAAGCCCCGGUAAACGGCGGCCGUAACUAUAACGGUCCUAAGGUAGCGAAAUUCCUUGUCGGGUAAGUUCCGACCUGCACGAAUGGCGUAAUGAUGGCCAGGCUGUCUCCACCCGAGACUCAGUGAAAUUGAACUCGCUGUGAAGAUGCAGUGUACCCGCGGCAAGACGGAAAGACCCCGUGAACCUUUACUAUAGCUUGACACUGAACAUUGAGCCUUGAUGUGUAGGAUAGGUGGGAGGCUUUGAAGUGUGGACGCCAGUCUGCAUGGAGCCGACCUUGAAAUACCACCCUUUAAUGUUUGAUGUUCUAACGUGGACCCGUUACCCGGGUUGCGGACAGUGUCUGGUGGGUAGUUUGACUGGGGCGGUCUCCUCCUAAAGAGUAACGGAGGAGCACGAAGGUUGGCUAAUCCUGGUCGGACAUCAGGAGGUUAGUGCAAUGGCAUAAGCCAGCUUGACUGCGAGCGUGACGGCGCGAGCAGGUGCGAAAGCAGGUCAUAGUGAUCCGGUGGUUCUGAAUGGAAGGGCCAUCGCUCAACGGAUAAAAGGUACUCCGGGGAUAACAGGCUGAUACCGCCCAAGAGUUCAUAUCGACGGCGGUGUUUGGCACCUCGAUGUCGGCUCAUCACAUCCUGGGGCUGAAGUAGGUCCCAAGGGUAUGGCUGUUCGCCAUUUAAAGUGGUACGCGAGCUGGGUUUAGAACGUCGUGAGACAGUUCGGUCCCUAUCUGCCGUGGGCGCUGGAGAACUGAGGGGGGCUGCUCCUAGUACGAGAGGACCGGAGUGGACGCAUCACUGGUGUUCGGGUUGUCAUGCCAAUGGCACUGCCCGGUAGCUAAAUGCGGAAGAGAUAAGUGCUGAAAGCAUCUAAGCACGAAACUUGCCCCGA
This 2259-nucleotide ribosomal RNA is filed under the name Salmonella enterica. RNAcentral describes it as "partial 23S ribosomal RNA". It matches the Rfam family "Bacterial large subunit ribosomal RNA", at positions 558 to 2802 of the family's 2925-position model. Lineage: Bacteria; Pseudomonadati; Pseudomonadota; Gammaproteobacteria; Enterobacterales; Enterobacteriaceae. RNAcentral also lists the same sequence under 1 other name. The record is from RNAcentral.